This 2433-nucleotide long non-coding RNA is filed under the name Homo sapiens (human). Its description in RNAcentral is "HSALNT0038755". The record is from RNAcentral. Lineage: Eukaryota; Metazoa; Chordata; Mammalia; Primates; Hominidae.
GGAGCGGAAAAGCGCACUGCGCGGCGUGAGCUGGCGGGCCGCAGCAUAGCAACCGAACAUGGCGGCUGCGCAGGCGCCGCCAGUCAGUGGCCAGGAGCGGCGGCGGCAGCAACAGGAGGCGAUCUCGCGAGAGGCGAGGCCAAAACCCUGCCUCGCUAGCGCAGGGAGAAGUCGCACCAGUCGGAGCGCAGAGGGACACGCAGACAUUUCAGCAGAGGCCUCAAAGGCAGAACAAAAUAGUGCAAGGAGCCGCACAUCCGCACAGUGCUGAGACCCUGCCCAGGACAAGCUUGGCCGCAGUAUUCCCUUUGGCACCCCCACCCACCUGGAACAAAGCCUGAUGUAAAGUCUGGGUGCGACUCAGACCGGCCUGGGAAAGAAUUUAUUUAAUAAAUGGUGGAAAGUGGCUUCCUUGACGUGUCUUCGAUGGCUUUUUUAUAAAGCAUUUGGUUUGUCUACUCGUCUGUUUUUGCGCCAUCUCUUUCCACAAAGAUGGCUUAUAGCAGGGAUACUUACAACAAAAUGAUGCUGGGAAAACAAAAACAAAGAAGUAGAGAAUUAGGCCUGAGAAAACUAGGAGUAGAGAGUCACGAUUAGAUACAGAGGAGCAUAGAUGUGUAGUCUAGGAAGGCCAACUAAUUGUUAUAGCUGAAAUUCAAAUUCAGUUAGCUAAAAUGUUCCUAGUGUCAAAGGAAGAAUGGGCCACACAGUUGCAUAAUCCUUAGUAUUAGGGAGAAGGAAAAGGUUCCAGUUAUUCAGAGGGAUGUUCUCUUGCCUUAUUCCUUUAAUAAGUAUCUGUUAAAGGCCCACCAUGUGCCAAGCACCAUGCCCGGCAAGCACUGCACUCACCCCCCAGGAACUCAGUGUCUAAAGGAGACUGGGUGAAAGAACUAUAUUUGUGUGCCUAUGAUGUGUCAAAUACUAUGCAUUUAGUUAUGCAGUUACUGUAUGUUAGACACUAUGCAUUUAAUUAUUUACCUGCUGUAUAUCAGACACCAUGCAUUUUCAUUUAACCCUCAUAAGCACUUACAUCAAGUAGACACUGUUACCUCUUUUUUACAGAUGAGAAAACAGAGUCUCUUCCCGCAGCUGGUAAGUAUUGAACUUAGGAUUCAAAUCAAGGCCAUUCUCUCUUAUAUAUGGUGCUAGACUGUUGGUGGUCUUUCUAACUUCCAUUAUUUAUUUUCCCUUCCCUUUCUUUUCUUCUUUUCCUUUUCCUUUUUUUUUUUUAGAAACAGGAUCUUGCUCUGUUGCCCAGGCUGGAGUGCUGUGGUACGAUCAUAGCUCACUACAGCCUUUACCUCCUGUUUUCAAGUGAUAUGUCCACGUAUCCCCUCCUAGGUAACUGGGACUACUGGUGUGUGCCACUAUACUGGCUUAUUUUUUCUAACUUUUUGUAGAAAUGGGGUCUUGCUAUGUCGCCCAGGCUGGUCUCAAUUCCUGGCCUGAAACAAUCCUCCCAACGUGGCCUCCCAAAGUGUUGGGAUUACAGGCUUGAGCCACCACAGCUGGCCCCCAGUUCCCUUUCUAACAGAACGUCAGCUUUGUUUAAUUAUUUACCACUCCUCAAAAUAGCUAACAUGGGCCAAGGGUCAAUGACCCCAUUUCUAGGUUCUUGUGGGCAGGAUGGGAAGAUUGAUUAGCCAAUCACAAUAAUCCCCUGUGCUUGGUUUAAGAAUCUGGGCUUAAACCAAUCAUUAUGUGACAUUCUCCUGGUGAUUGUCUUAGGUCUAGGAUGACAUAAGCGGGCACAAUAAGACUGAAGGAAUGGUCAUCAAUUCCAUAUUUUGGGGAAAGGCUCUUCUAUCUCUCUUGCUGGAAAUAGACUAGUAGGUAUGUUGCUGCUGGCAGCCCUUCUGUGACUCUGGACGAGGCUGACUCUUCUGAUACCAACUGUUCUGACACCAACUGGUGUACUGUAAUAUGAUUCCCCAGAUGCAAAUACAAAUACCCGGCGUUAGUGGAGACUCCACACGUUAAAGGGCACGGUCCCCUACAAGACUGUUUCACUUCAAAUGCCAACCACAAGGUGGGGUCUCAGACCACCAGCAUUUCUGACCAGCUGGCUACAAAUCUGGGUGUUCCCACAAUCCCUCUCAGGUUCAAUAAUUUACUAGAAUGACUCACAGAACUCAGGAAAGCCUACAUUAUGAUUAUAGUUUUAUAAUAAAGAAUAUCAAUCAAGAGCAUAGGACAAGACCUAAGAGCUUCUAGAAUGCAGAGCUUCUGGGCUCUCUCCCCAUGGAAUUGGGCCAUAUCACUCUCCCAGUGCAUCAGUGUGUUCAUUAACCAGGAGAUCCACUGAGCUUCAACAUCCAGAGUUUUUAUCAGAGUGCCAUUCCAUUGGCAUGACUGAACAUUGGCCAUGUGGUGGAACUCAAUCUCCAGCUGUCCUUCCCUCCUUGGAGCUCAUGAAUAACAAAAACACUCCUA